Molecule: small RNA, 827 nt
Filed under: Pan troglodytes (chimpanzee)
Lineage: Eukaryota; Metazoa; Chordata; Mammalia; Primates; Hominidae
Description: processed transcript
Source: RNAcentral
GAAAGUGAAGCUGCGCUGGUUCUACUGCCCUUUCACUUUGAUUAAGCAGGCCCGUAGUUAAAAUGGGUUUUUGGGCCUUCAGUGCCUAAAGAUGAUGCCACACAAUUCUCUUGCUUCUUUUGACUGGAGACUCGUGAGCGAGAGACUACAGAAUUGAGUAGCUUCUCUCUCUACUCGUCUUUUAUCCCUAGCGACUUAAGGAUCUGGUUAGAGUGGCCCGAAUGCAUUCUUCCAGGGAAGAAGAGAAUUUAUCCAAAGAUUAAAACUUGAAGCAACCCUUAAUGUGCAUGAUGGUUGUGUUAAUACAAUCUGUUGGAAUGACACUGGAGAAUAUAUUUUAUCUGGCUCAGAUGACACCAAAUUAGUAAUUAGUAAUCCUUACAGCAGAAAGGUUUUGACAACAAUUCGUUCAGGGCACCGAGCAAACAUAUUUAGUGCAAAGUUCUUACCUUGCACAAAUGAUAAACAGAUUGUAUCCUGCUCUGGAGAUGGAGUAAUAUUUUAUACCAACGUUGAGCAAGAUGCAGAAACCAACAGACAAUGCCAAUUUACGUGCCAUUAUGGAACUACUUAUGAGAUUAUGACUGUACCCAAUGACCCUUACACUUUUCUCUCUUGUGGUGAAGAUGGAACUGUUAGGUGGUUUGAUACACGCAUCAAAACUAGCUGCACAAAAGAAGAUUGUAAAGAUGAUAUUUUAAUUAACUGUCGACGUGCUGCCACGUCUGUUGCUAUUUGCCCACCAAUACCGUAUUACCUUGCUGUUGGUUGUUCUGACAGCUCAGUACGAAUAUAUGAUCGGCGAAUGCUGGGCACAAGAGCUACAG